RNAcentral lists this non-coding RNA (146 nucleotides) under Chlorocebus sabaeus (green monkey). Lineage: Eukaryota; Metazoa; Chordata; Mammalia; Primates; Cercopithecidae. The record is from Rfam by way of RNAcentral.
GCCGGGUGUGGUGGUGCGCACCUGUGGUCCCAGCUACUCAGGAGGCUGAGGCGGGAGAAUCGCUCGAACCCAGGAGGCAGAGGUUGCAGUGAGCCGAGAUCACCACUGCACUCCAGCCUGGGUGACAGAGUGAGACUCUGUCUCCA